Molecule: ribosomal RNA, 397 nt
Filed under: uncultured bacterium
Lineage: Bacteria
Description: partial 16S ribosomal RNA
Rfam family: Bacterial small subunit ribosomal RNA
Source: RNAcentral
AUACGUAGGGGGCGAGCGUUGUCCGGAAUGAUUGGGCGUAAAGGGCGCGUAGGCGGCCCGGUAAGUCUGGAGUGAAAGUCCUGUUUUUAAGAUGGGAAUUGCUUUGGAUACUGUCGGGCUUGAGCGCAGGAGAGGUAAGUGGAAUUCCCGGUGUAGCGGUGAAAUGCGUAGAGAUCGGGAGGAACACCAGUGGCGAAGGCGGGUAACUGGACUGCAACGGACGCUGAGGCGCGAAAGUGUGGGGAGCAAACAGGAUUAGAUACCCGGGUAGUCCACGCCGUAAACGAUGAAUACUAGGUGUAGGGGGUAUCGACUCCCUCUGUGCCGCAGUUAACACAAUAAGUAUUCCGCCUGGGGAGUACGGCCGCAAGGUUGAAACUCAAAUGAAUUGACGGGG